AGAGAUGUGUGAUGACGCAUAUCAAUAAGCGGAGGAAAAGAAACUAACAAGGAUUCCCUUAGUAACGGCGAGUGAAGCGGGAAGAGCUCAAAUUUGAAAUCUUCAAGGUUCUACCUUGACGAAUUGUAGUUUAUAGAAGUGUUUUCUGUUAGUGGAGUGGCAAAAGUUCUUUGGAAUAGGACAUCAUAGAGGGUGAGAAUCCCGUAUUUGGUCAUUCCUCCUAGCGUUGUGAUACACUUUCAACGAGUCGGAUUGUUUGGGAAUGCAGUCCAAAAUGGGUGGUAAAUUUCAUCUAAAGCUAAAUAUUGGCGAGAGACCGAUAGCGAACAAGUACCGUGAGGGAAAGAUGAAAAGAACUUUGAAAAGAGAGUUAAACAGUACGUGAAAUUGUCAAAAGGGAAGCGUUUGACACCAGUGUUGUUUUUCCGAAAAUCAAUUACGAAUGUUUUGUUUUUGAGGAGUUAUGACCUCAUCGGCUUGCUCCUUUCUUUACGAAACUUUCUUAAUGCACUUUUCGGUUAACAAGUCAACAUCAAUUUCUUUUGUUGUAAAAGGGUAUGAGGAAGGUGGCUUUCUUUUCGGAGAAAGUGUUUAUAGCCUUGUACCUCUGCAAUCGGAGAGAUUGAGGUCUGCAGCGUAGAUCCUUCGGGGUUAGAUACAUUUGUGCUAAGUUAUAGCUUUUCAUAGACAACUUGUUGACUAUGUUUAGUCUUGUAGCUUACUCGCUUAUGCUAUUUUACCUACGCUUAGGAUGUUGAAGUCAUCGUAUCGCGC
RNAcentral lists this ribosomal RNA (774 nucleotides) under uncultured Neocallimastigales. RNAcentral describes it as "partial large subunit ribosomal RNA". It matches the Rfam family "Eukaryotic large subunit ribosomal RNA", at positions 23 to 645 of the family's 3401-position model. The record is from RNAcentral. Lineage: Eukaryota; Fungi; Neocallimastigomycota; Neocallimastigomycetes; Neocallimastigales.